This 459-nucleotide ribosomal RNA is filed under the name uncultured bacterium. RNAcentral's name for it is "partial 16S ribosomal RNA". It matches the Rfam family "Bacterial small subunit ribosomal RNA", at positions 338 to 795 of the family's 1533-position model. The record is from RNAcentral.
CCUACGGGAGGCAGCAGUGAGGAAUAUUGGUCAAUGGGAGAGAGCCUGAACCAGCAAAGCCGCGUGAGGGAAGACGGCCCUAUGGGUUGUAAACCUCUUUUGUCGGAGAACAAAACCCGGGACGUGUCCCGGACUGCGUGUAUCCGAAGAAAAAGCAUGGGCUAACUCCGUGCCAGCAGCCGCGGUAAUACGGAGGAUGCGAGCGUUAUCCGGAUUUAUUGGGGUUAAAGGGUGCGAAGGCGGUCCGUUAAGUCAGCGGUAAAAUUGCGGGGCUCAACCCCGGCGAGCCGUUGAAACUGUCGGACUAGAGACGGCGAGAAGUACGCGGAAUGCGCGGUGUAGCGGUGAAAUGCAUAGAUAUCGCGCAGAACUCCGAUUGCGAAGGCAGCGUACCGGCGCCGGACUGACGCUGAGGCACGAAAGCGUGGGUAUCGAACAGGAUUAGAUACCCCUGUAGUC